RNAcentral lists this long non-coding RNA (232 nucleotides) under Elaeis guineensis (African oil palm). Its description in RNAcentral is "long non-coding RNA (EGUI_LNC026122)". Lineage: Eukaryota; Viridiplantae; Streptophyta; Magnoliopsida; Arecales; Arecaceae. The record is from RNAcentral.
CAUCCGAAAUUUAUCUAGCAUCUACAAAUAACCGAAUAUCUAAAUUGGCCGACUUCCGACUUCAGAUGUAGAUGUAUUGCAGCUUUCAUCGAUCUUAUCUUACUGAAUGCAAUUGACUCCGGUCACUUCUUUUCUUCGGCAUCUGUUUCUAUUGAACCACACCGAACUCUGAACUAAAGAAGCCGAUCUCACCCAAUACGUAUCCUUAUUUCAAAUUUCAAAGACAUCCACA